This 447-nucleotide ribosomal RNA is filed under the name uncultured bacterium. RNAcentral's name for it is "partial 16S ribosomal RNA". It matches the Rfam family "Bacterial small subunit ribosomal RNA", at positions 331 to 795 of the family's 1533-position model. The record is from RNAcentral.
CCAGACUCCUACGGGAGGCAGCAGUAGGGAAUUUUGCGCAAUGGGGGAAACCCUGACGCAGCAACACCGCGUGAAUGUUAAGCCCUUCGGGGUGUAAAGUUCUGUCAAUAGGGACGAAUUUUGACUGUACCUAUAAAGAAAGCACCGGCUAACUCCGUGCCAGCAGCCGCGGUAAUACGUAGGGAGCAAGCGUUGUCCGGAAUUACUGGGCGUAAAGGGCGCGUAGGUGGGCGCUUAAGUCAGGUGUGAAAACUCCGGGCUCAACCUGGAGACUGCACUUGAAACUGGGUGUCUUGAGGGCAGGAGAGGAAAGUGGAAUUCCUAGUGUAGCGGUGAAAUGCGUAGAUAUUAGGAGGAACACCAGUGGCGAAGGCGACUUUCUGGACUGUACCUGACGCUGAGGCGCGAAAGCGUGGGUAGCGAACGGGAUUAGAUACCCUAGUAAUA